UACGGGGGGGGCAAGCGUUGUUCGGAAUUACUGGGCGUAAAGGGCGCGUAGGCGGUCAGAUAAGUCAGCUGUGAAAACCUCGGGCUUAACCCGAGGCCUGCAGUUGAAACUGUUUGGCUGGAGUGUGGGAGAGGAGAGUGGAAUUCCCGGUGUAGCGGUGAAAUGCGUAGAUAUCUGGAGGAACACCGGUGGCGAAGGCGGCAUCCUGGACCGGUAUUGACGCUGAGGAGCGAAAGCCAGGGGAGCAAACGGG
RNAcentral lists this ribosomal RNA (253 nucleotides) under uncultured bacterium. RNAcentral's name for it is "partial 16S ribosomal RNA". It matches the Rfam family "Bacterial small subunit ribosomal RNA", at positions 524 to 776 of the family's 1533-position model. The record is from RNAcentral.